GGAGGAGGAGCAGGAGGAGGAGGGAGGGAGAAGACUGAGGUAUGAAGAGGAGUCUCUGACUUCUGAACUUUUCCACUGCUGUAUAUCCUGACUGAACUCUUAAUGCCACAGAGAUACCGCCAGUGUCAGUUGAUUCGAUGAUCUGUUUCUGUGAUCUGGUCGUUGAGUCAGGCUCUGCUAAAACAUAGACUGUGUGCACCAUAUCCCAGAUGGUUCAGGAUCUAUAGGAAAGUGUCUCACCUGAUCAUGAAAAAAGACAGAAUUCUCCUCUCUUGAGUCCUACUAUGAAAUGUCAAGCAUUACUAGACCUCUGAAAAUGUCUGAACAACAAACUGUUGUGUCAAGUAUGCCAUGAAAUUAACUUUGAACUUAACCCCACAGCAUACCGGAGAAUGAAACUGGUGGCAGGCUUUCAGAUUGUAACCGAAAUAGAAAAAGAUAAGAACAUUCAGUCUCGGAUAAAUCCUGAGUACCUGCCUGGAUUUGUAGCUAAUGUUGCAUAACCACCUUCCGCAAUACAGAAGAUGAAUUUCAGCUGAGAUAGCUGGUGCACAGAAUAAAAACACUGGAAUUAUAUUCAAAUUGUAUAGGUUGUUCCCAAAAAGUUUGAGGGGCUGACCUCAACUGAACUCAUGAAAGUGAAAGCACUGGAUCUGACUGAACUCUGCUGACUGCUAGACAAAGGGAACAUAAAAUCUGACCCCAGGGAAUCUCAGGCUGCACCCACCUGGUGAAUGACUUUUUCUUAUGGCAGACCCUUAAAAUUAGGCCUGUAACUGAGGUUAAGUAGCCAUUAUGCACAGGAAAAAAAAACUAUCACCGCUCUCAAUCUCAAAGAAGCAUGGAAGGGCUAGGUUUAACCUUGAAGAACACUUAAGAGUGUAGAGGCAGAAUAUAGCUACAAAAUAGUGAGAAGAGGCCUAAAUCAGACCUCAGAUAUCUACUAUGCAUUGAUUUGUGAAAGGGACAGCUAGACUUAGAGGAUCCCAGUGCAAGCAACUGAUCAAGAAGAGCGAAGGAGGUGCAUGGUAUUCUUCAAAGAUCCCAUAACAGAAAAAGAGAACUUUAUCUGGACCUAUGCUGUUAAUUGGGUUUAAAAUUGGUCUUAAAUGACCUGGGGGACCGGAUAAACUUCAGAUGACUCCUGGGACACAAAAAAGGCAAAGCCAAACUCAAAAAAUCACUUGAGAAAACUAGCUGGAAUUAAGAUCAACUUAAUUCUUGUGCAGGCUAGUUGGCUCUGAGUUUGACUUCAAACAACUUACAAAAUAAAAGCAAAGACAAUAAUAUCGACCAUUGGGUGUAGAGCUGACCUUCAAUGGAUCUCUUGUCCUCAGAUGACCUCUUUUAGCUAAUUUGCUGGCAUGUUGACCUAGAGGAUGAAACAAGUGCCAGUUUGACCUCAAGUGACCCUUUCUACUAAUUAGAGCUCAUAUUUUACCUAAACUGACCCCUUACUGCAAACUCAGAUGAUUGAAUAUGAAGUUGGACUCAGAUGAAUCUAGUCAGGAAACAAGUGCUGUGAUUGAAUUCUAAUGACCUUUGAGCACCAAAUGAGCACCUCAAAUUAAAACCCAAGCAAUUAAUUAGAUCUCAGUUUUACCUUAAGUGACCUCUGGAUACAAAAAAAUGCUGUACUGGCCUUAGAUGAACCCAAACAUCACAGGUUCUCUGUUGACCUCAAAUGAACCGUGGCAGCCUAAUUGGAUCUCAAGUGGACAUUAAAUGAUUGUUGCCUCCUUCAAAUGAGGACAGCAUUGAUCAUAAAUGACUGCUGUACAUGCAAUCAGAUGUCAACUUGACUUCAGAUGUUCCUGGACUUCAACAAAUAACCUAGUUGACUUCAAACAAUGCCUUAUGUAUAUGUUGUCUCAUGAUGAUGUCAGGUUACUCUCCUGGACAGCUUACUUGGACUUUAGGUUGACCUCAGAUGAUGUAAUGGUGAUUAUCUAGCCCUCAAAUUGAACUGAGAUGAUCCCUGAGUAGGAAGUAAUGGCUGUGGUGAUCUCCAGUGAUCUUGACUGUUUUUGUGCACUCUCAAGUUGACUCUAAAAUGAUCCCAGGCAUAUACUUGAGUUUCAUGUCCACUUGAAUCUUGUGACCAUUUGGCCUUCAAAUUGGAUAACUCCCAAAAAACUUUUGAUCAGAACUCAUCUAUUUCCUCACUACUACAAACCAAGGCCACAUAGCUGAGCCUGGGAUCUGUGGACCCUGGCAAACUAGGACCAUGGUUUGUUAUAUUUGUUGCUGUUUGUUUGUUUAUUUGUUUGCGGGUUUUUGUUUUUUUUUUUCUGAAAAGGAGCACAGUGCAUCAAACUAAAGAUGGUAGCUGACUUCAGACGACAUCUGAUCAAUAAUAUAUGGUGGCACUUAAACAUACACAUCCUCUGACUGACAGAAACUGAUGUGGUACAUCUCACAGUAAUAUCCUUUAGAAGUAGUUGUGUGGAGAAUUGUUACUUCAGAGAACUUCAGAUUGGAGAAUAUGCCAGUGUUUGAUCUCCAACAGUCUCCUCACCUAGAAAGCUGAGGUGGUGUUUGACCUGAGUAUAUCUUUAUUUAUGAAACUUUUCACCUUGUGUCUUCUGCUUCUGCUACCAAAUUGUGCCUCAGUAUUUCAGUAGAUUAUUUCAGGUAAUCUCUGAACAACACAUGAAGUAGCCAGACAAAUCUCUUAUAUUUGACCAAUAGUCUGCAAUAACAGUGAAAUUAUAUCCACCUCAUUAUGGAGUUUGGAGCAAGUGUGCUUAACAGCAUGUUUACUGUCUCUGUGUAAAUAAGGCAACGAUUGUCAGUUUGGGUCCUACACAUAUUUUUUGGGCAUCAUUAACAUGAGGAAGACCUUCCACAGUGAAUUUGGGCAGAAAUCGAUCUUUACUGAUCUCUGAGCUGUAAAUGAGUGUGUGUGCUGACCUCCAGAUAUACAGGUUUGGCCAUAAAUGAUCUACUGAGAACAAAUAUGGAUCUUGGGCACCUUACAUAGCCAUGGUAGUGAUAGUGGCGGUUCAUUUCAGCUAAAUUCAUUUUAACAAUGCAGGCUGCUCUGAAAGGAAUGCUUCCUGUUUAAUUAUGUUUUCUCAUAAAGUCAGAGGUGGAUGUUGGUGACAUGGCAGUAGAGACUGAAGAUUCCCACCAAUAUUCCAUUAUAUUUUGUUGCCAUGUGACAGAUGGCAGCAGAGAGGCAGUUUGACAGAAUGGUGUCUAACCUGGAUGUAGGUAUGAAGCAAAGGAGUGUGACUGAACUCCUCCAUGCAGAAAAAAUAGCACCCACCAACAUUCAUUGAUGCUUGCUGAACAUUUCUGGAGACCAAACUGUGAAUGUGAGCAUAGUGAGGCAGUGGGUGAUGCAUUUCAACAGUGGUGACAGUGGCAGUGGAUCAACUCAGCUGGCGCAGAUUGUUACGAGUAUGGCAUGCAGGCUCCUAUUCAUCAUUGGUGAAAAUGCAUAGCUAAUGAUGGUGACUGUGUUGAAAAUAGUGUUUUAUACCUGGGAAUUUGCUCUAUCAAAUCGUGCUAUUGUGCUCUUUGUAUGUGUUAUAAUAUCCAUGAAAAUAAAUCAGAGACAUUACUUUCAGAGUGACCUAUGUAUGUUGAUUGCAAAUAUGCCUGUGCUGCUUGUGUAUUAGAGCAUGUGGCAGUAUGUGGAGGGGAGAUAGUGGUAAGGGUUAUGGCGGAGGGCACAUAUUUUCUGCAUGGGCAGAGCUAAGGUGAUAAGGUUUGGCUGGAAGAAUGCCAGACCUUCUUUCUUCAUUUGGUGAAAUCCUAACAUGAAUGGAUAUUGAUCUAAAAUUAAUAGACUUUCUGGAGAGCUACAGCUCUGAUGUUUAAAUUAAAUUUCUGUAGACACAUCUAUAUUACUAUCUUUUAAGUACAUAAUAGAUCAUUAUGAAACAAAUUGGAUAGUCUAAGUAUGAGUACAAAAUGGAUUUGCUGUCUUUUUCCUCUGCAUGAAUGUGUGCACUAAUUGGAAACCCUGGGAUUCCCAAGAGACAAGUCAGACAGCUGGCUCUUUACCCUCUAUGUGCCAGCAAAUUUCAGAUAAUUGCUUUACCUACCUACAUUCUUGCUUCUAUUUAAUGAAUAUAACAAAAUUAUUUAUGUGAAUAAAGAUUAAAUUGUUUUGAUUUCUUCAUCCCUUAAAUAUAAUUGUGUUGGUUCAAAUCCACAGGAACACUGAAGACACUAACAGAAGAAGUGUUUUUAGGUGAUGCAUUUUUGGCCAUCAACAAUGUUUGACCACUGGGAAAGACCUGGAAACAUCAGGGAAGCACAGUUUUAAUUAAUAGAGAGCCAGAGAAGAUUUUUCUUUACCACCACUGACUUCCAUUAGGCCUUGCUGAAGUGGAACAUCACAGCAAAGAGAAAGAUUCCUUCCCCUCCAUUGCAAUCCUAAUUCCAGUCUCUAUUUAGGUGCUGAAUUCAGAUUCAUCCAUAAUUCCUUGCUGCUGAGGCUUCAGCACAUGCAGGGAGGUAUUCAGCUGGAUGAGAUGGAGAGACUGUUUCUUUCUAACCCUUCUUUUAGCUACAGAGCUUUUGAACAGUAAAAUAUUCUGCACAACCUGAAGUUGCUUGGAUUGCUGUAUUCAGAUGGUUACUUAAGCACGUCUAGAGCUUUAAGCUCAUUGGAAGAGAGUUCCAGGCUUUUGUAUGAAGCACGUCUGCUACACACUCUCUAUGGAUGCCUAAAUGCCAGCUUGUGUUUCCAUUGGAGUUGCCCUAGCUUGUCCAAAGAGUCCAUGCAUGAGAGACCUGAGACCUUGAGGAGCAGCAGGCAGACAUCAAGCAGGGUACCCCUGUGCAAUGUGGACAGGACCAACAAACCUCUCUGGCCUGCUGCAUUGAGCCCUUACAGGCAGAACACCACGUGAAAGAUUUGCUCUGAUCUUUGGAGAACCAUAGUCACACAGAGAGUUUUAAUGUAUGUCUGUAGGAGGAGAUAGUUUUUAUUAGUCUGAUCAAUAUAACUGAGAUAAAACCUUCUGAAUUCAGAGUCCCUUCAUCUAACUGAACCCUGUAAGUCUUGUUUUUUUUUUUCAUAUACACAGACCAUUGAAUGUACAAUAAAACUACUGCAUAUAUAGGAAGGCAAACAAAGAGGAAGGGAAGCAUGGCCCAUAACACUAAAAUUACCUCAUUCUUUCACAACAAACAGGCACUUCACAUCAAGAACAGUACAGAUUUGUGUCUAUCCUACCAAAUGAAUAUUCAAUUCAGGUUUCAAAAGAUUCCUUUUGGGGAUAGGGAUGGGAAGUAGAGGUGUAGAGUGGAGGCAUAUGAAAAAAGGGAAGAGGCAGAGAAAUUGCUGAGCCAGACUUUGAUUCACCCAGUCUAAAUGCUGGACUAUUUUGGGGAUGUUUAUUACAUUUCAUGAGACCAUUCCUGUUACGAAGACACUGCUCAAAGUGCACGGGAAGUGAUCAUCAGAUGCAUCCACCUUACAGCAUGAUGUGGAAGGCUACAUUUGCAUGCAUAUGUAAUUAAUUAAGUGAAUAUCUGUAAGUGUAUAAUCCUUCUGGGACUGACAAUUGUUAUCUGAUGUUGUAUUAUGUAAAGCAUUUCACCAAUGUGUUCCUUGAAAACUUACAUUAAUCUGUAUCAUCAUCUAUCUUUGAGGGACUGUAAUGGGCACAAUGUGUAAGACAGUUUGUACAUGCACAAAUAAAGCUGCCGUGAGCCUGGACAGUGGAGCUACACUGACAUUGACCCGACAUUACGGAAUAGGAGGCCAUGCCCUGUAACUCUGUUUUAAAAUACAUUCUUUAUGUCACUUCUCAGUGUUGGUGACUGUGCUGUUUGCCAGUCAGUGCCUAUGACAGUUUGUUUGCCUCUCUUCUUCUAGAAGAGAGGUAUUUUACCUCUCUUCUUCCUAGACAGGCAAGAAAGGUAUUCUAGUCUUGAAAUACCGAAGACAAAAAGAAAGGAAAUACAAACUGCACAAAAUCUGUUUGUAUUGUUGCAGAACACAUUGUUUCUGAUAUUCUAACUUAAAAAUAUACAGUUGAAUAUGAAAUAAUGAUACUGUAGCAAUGCUUAUUCAAAUACCAGCAGCAUACUUAUCAUAGAGUUCUGUAUUUGGAACACUUGAAUACAACAAUCUAUUUCAUGCAAGUAGUAAACUGCUCAUCUUCAUGAAGUCUGAAACACAGAUGCUCAUGCAUGUACUUAUUAUUACAUUUAUCUGCAUGUCACGCAUGCACUUAUUAUUACAUUUAUAUCAGAUGGAUGCAAAAUCUCUGGAUAAGUCUUAAAUCUCGAGGACUUGAAAGUGUAAUUAUGCUAAGAUGCACUUACGGCAUUUCAGCACCUAAACUUGCAUGCUUGUGCUGUGACUUGAGAACAUUUAAACACAUAGCUGGCUUUAAGUUUAUGCUUAGCAACUUGCAAAAUGAGGCCUUAGAUAUUCUUUCUGAAUUUUUUCCUGCUUUGAAUUCGGGCUCCUAAAAAUGAGAUGAUUGUAUAUUUGAAAGGUGCUAUCUUCCGCUGCAACAGCUAGCACUCUAUCUUUCAUUAUUAAUUACUAUUAGAAAUACACAAACUUAAAAAAUAACCAAUGUGUUUGUCAUUUCUUCUAAACGCAGUACCUUUUUCUUAAUAGGAUAAUCUGCUGUUGUAUUAUUGUGCAGCACGCCUUCAUGCAAAUGUCUCUAGCUCUAAGUCUUUUGGUCUUCUACUAGCUGAGGCGUUCCUUAAAAUAAUAGAGAAAUAAAUGAAGAAAUCUAACAAUUUACAUAUUCAGAAGUUGCAGCUGUGAUUUAAAUAGCAAAACUGAGCCUCUUUUGGUGCAUUGGUGGAGAAACAUGCAAUACUUACUCUAAUAGGCUAAGAGAAAUCAUGAAAGUGAAUAUGGACUCCUUAUGUUUAGGCUUUUAUUUUUACUAUUCUCUUUUGAAAAUGCAUACACAGUACUUUUUCCUGACAGAUUCAGUUGAUUUAAAGGGGGUUGGGGAAAAAAAUAACAAAACAGCUUUUAUUUUCUUAUGCUUUUUUUUUUUUUUUUUUUUUUUUUUUAAUUUUCUUCAGCAUUAAAGAAAGGAACUUCAUCAACAUUGAUUGUCAUUUACAGAAAACAUUCAAAAAUCAUGUGUGCAUUAUUAUGGAAUGCUAACAGUAUUGAACUAAUAAUUUACAUGACAUAAAAGAAGACAAAUAUCUAUUACAUUCUAAAGUAAUAUAGAAACUUUUCAUUUGACAGGAAUGCUGGUCCUAGGAAAUUUAUGACAAAAAAUAAAACCCUCAAAUGGUCACUUUCUAAAUGAAUCAGGCUGUAGUUUUACUCACAUACACAUAAAUUAGGUCUGUUAUAUUAAACAAGGGAUAAAGAUCAGAAGAAAACUGCAGGUGUAAAAACACUGUGUGAACUCCUGGCUUCACAGAAAUCAGUGGGAGUUUUGCCAUUGGUUUCAGUGGAACCAGGGUUUCACCCAGUUUGACAUUGCUUGUUUGUGGUUUUUGCUUUUUUGCAUCUACAAGCCAGUUAAGAUACAUUAUAGUUAUUAUACAAUUAAGCUUCAGAACAACAACAAAAAAAUGUUGACUCUGCGAGGCAUUUGAUUUUAGGAAUGAAUUUUCAUUCUGCUUUCCAGAGUGAUUCGUUUUGUUAUAUGCAUUUUCUUUGAUUGUUUUGACAGGCAAUGCAACUUUUGUGCGUUACCAACAGUGUUAGCAAGUGGUUUGCAAGUAGCAGCCCCCCCACAAUUCAAAUUAAAUUGAUUUAGAACAAUAUAGCUACAGCCAGGCACCAAACAGCUCGAGGCCUGGAGAUCUGGUCUUAGCAUCUCAUUUCACUCUAAGAAAACGAACUGGAAAUAGAAUAAAAAAAUUAGAUAUUUGAAAGUGGGAAGUAUAUGAAAAAUCAGUUUCUCUCGUAAUCCUAAAAGCAAGGAAGCAUUUCCAGGGAUAUUUCAAAAAUAUUAGAAAGUUUCAUUUAAAUCUAAAUAUCUAUUUUAAUUAUGUUUUUCUUUUUGUACAAAUUGGUAAUCAGAAAAUACUAGCCAUUAAAUUCAUAUUGGGAUGCAGGAAAAGCAUCCAACUGGU
This is a long non-coding RNA of Gallus gallus (chicken), 8034 nucleotides long. RefSeq lists it as uncharacterized. Lineage: Eukaryota; Metazoa; Chordata; Aves; Galliformes; Phasianidae. The record is from RefSeq and is a predicted model, not a curated record. The transcript has 5 exons.